UGACCUCGGAUCAGGUAGAAA
This 21-nucleotide ribosomal RNA is filed under the name Trichoderma harzianum. Its description in RNAcentral is "partial 28S ribosomal RNA". Lineage: Eukaryota; Fungi; Ascomycota; Sordariomycetes; Hypocreales; Hypocreaceae. The record is from RNAcentral.